Molecule: long non-coding RNA, 1082 nt
Organism: Gallus gallus (chicken)
Lineage: Eukaryota; Metazoa; Chordata; Aves; Galliformes; Phasianidae
Source: Ensembl
GGCAAGGCAAGAGAUGCUAAAAGAUGAUCUGAUUUAGGGCUUUGUCAAUCAGGCCUUAGUGGUUGGGAUGAUACGAGAUAGACUCGUGUAUUCCCCAAGCUGAAAUCUCUUGAGCCCAAACCACUACUGGCAGUGAAUUAACCAUCUGCUAACCGUGGUGAGGCACUGCCUGGAAGAGUGCAAGCUGGACCAGGCCAAAACCAUAUCAAAGACUGCAUCCGUAAUCUGCGGUGCAAAUGAGCAUGGACACCUCUCAGGCUCAUACCCUGACUGCUUUCUGUUCACUGGUGCACACACACAGCCAGAGCAGCCUCUGCUUGGCUUGACAAGCAGAGGGCUCACAGGAGACCUGUGGUGGACACAACACCUGGCCCAGCUCUGUGGGCCCUUUGGACUGCAGGGACUGGAGUUUGGAGCACUGGACAAGGCACAGAGGAUCAUGAUCUGGAGGACAGUCUGCCUGCAACUACUGAACCCAUGUAUCCACAGAGCAACGUAAACCCAAACACCUUAAACAAAGAGGAAACUGGAACUGGGGCCAGUAAACAGCAUGUCCAAAAGGAAGAGAGUCCUGGGAGGCAAGGAAAAUCAAAGCCGUUUUCAACUCAAGUAGUUCAUGGUGACUCCUGUCGGGUAGCAUCUUUCACAGAGCUGCAACCUGACUGACCACUGAGGGAGCCCCAGUGGCUUUGAAAUAUGGCAAUAUGGACCAGGAUUCGUAUGUCUCUACUAAGGAUCUCUGGAGGAGAGAAGUAGCAGAGCUAUGAUACAAGACCUUAUCCAGACCAACCUUCUUGAGCCACUUACAUGGCAGAUAGAAUUUACUGCCUAAAUGGCCAGACCCAGAGGGUAGUGAACAGCAGUGCAACGUCCACAUGUUCAAAUUUGAAUAAGGCAGCUAGCUUCCCAUCUCCCAGUAACCCAGCUGAGGGCUGUUUUAGUGCAGACUCCUUUGAAUGUCCACACAGGGAAUGACAGAUCACAGUACUUCAUCCUACAGUAAUAGGAGGAAAAACAACAGAUCAAAGGUGUCCUCCUUAAUCUGUUUUGAUAUGUGCUCCCCUAUCUCAGUUCAUAAGGCG